CAUUUUAAAGAAACAAGGAUAAAGCCCUGAAACAGCGACGAGGGUUAAAAGGACUGAAGGCGAUCAUUCUGCCCACCCCUGCUCCUCUUGUCUCGGCAGAAGCCGACACAACUUGCAGACAACGGGAGUCAGUGUGGCUGAUUGCAGGGAGGGGAAGAUGAGUUAUGCCUGCCCUUGGAGCAGAGAGGCUGUACAGGACAACAGAGCUCCAGGAGACAGGCUGAAAACCAUCCCCCAUGGCCUUUCUUUCCUGGCCACCCCCAGCAAGAUCAAUGAAACCAAGCAGACCAUGCCACCGAUAAAAAAAAGCCAAAAAAAUAAAUAAAAGAUAGGCACAUC
Molecule: long non-coding RNA, 339 nt
Organism: Xenopus laevis (African clawed frog)
Lineage: Eukaryota; Metazoa; Chordata; Amphibia; Anura; Pipidae
Exons: 2
Source: RefSeq, a predicted model, not a curated record